Molecule: ribosomal RNA, 255 nt
Filed under: Mantella cf. betsileo RAN58089
Lineage: Eukaryota; Metazoa; Chordata; Amphibia; Anura; Mantellidae
Description: partial 12S ribosomal RNA
Rfam family: Bacterial small subunit ribosomal RNA
Source: RNAcentral
GGGAAUUACGAGCGCAAGCUUAAAAUUCAAAGGAUUUGACGGUAUCCCACCCACCWAGAGGAGCCUGUUCUAUAANCGAUAAUCCUCGAUACACCCAACCAUUUCUUGCUUUUCAGCCUGUANACCUCCGUCGCAAGCUUACCAUUUGAAUGUAAWAAAGUAGGUWWAAGGAUCCCCCAUCAACACGUCAGGUCAAGGUGCANCCAAUGUAAUGGAAAGUAAUGGGCUACAAUUUCUAUAAUARAAMAAANRAAA